This is a long non-coding RNA of Ictalurus punctatus (channel catfish), 5178 nucleotides long. NCBI's taxonomy places the organism in Eukaryota, Metazoa, Chordata, Actinopteri, Siluriformes, Ictaluridae. The record is from Ensembl.
AACCUAUACACUACACUGGUACAGAAUUCAGUACAUACACGCAGCAACAGCAGCAAGAUCUCUUUUCUUUUCACGGGGCAGUGUGCGUGGGACAACGUCGUGACGUCACCACGCGCUCGGGCGGCGUUGGAGGUUUCCACAGUAACAGCGAGAGAAAAGAGAAUGACGCGAGCAGAGCGAACGAGCGAGUGGGCGUGGUCUUUCUCUCUCUCACUCACUGGUAGACGUGGGCGGCCCCGUGUGGUCUGGAGAACGAAACAUGACACUCAGAAACGGAGGAGAGAGAGGGGGCGACGGGGGAAAAGAGCGCACGGGGAGUGAGUGGAAAAAAAAUAAGAGGGGGGUGCCAAAAAAUAAAAAAUAAAAAGAGACAGCCAGAGAGAACAUUUAGAGAAAAGCACCAGACACUAUAGAGAUAUCUUUAUUUCUAUUGGUAUGUUUUGACCGUCAGAAUGAUGUGGUGCAGCUCCGUAACGCGACCAAACUAAUUAGUAAUUUAGCAAGUAGCGUUCAGGCCACUGGCGCCCGGAGACGCACACGGCUACACCGCGGAACUCCUCUCCCACCUCGGCUACUGUUGGAGCACAAGUGCGGUUCUUCUGGAGUAAAACAGCGUCCAGUCGAGAUCCAGAUCGAUGAGGGACGGCGGAGGAGAGGAGUAGAGUGGAGCAGAGGAUAGAAAGAAGAGACGCUGGUGGCGUGAAAGUAGCUAAACGGGUAGGGAAAAGUUAGCGAGGAGUUUGUUUGCGGCGAGCAGAGGACUGGUUAGCGGAUCCGGACUCAGGGAGACCAUGAAGACCGCGGGGGAUUCCGCUUUGAAGUUGGACAGUGCUGUCUGCCCUGUUCUGCAUACAUGAUGCUCCCAAAUGCUCAUGAUUGGCUAGUGUCAUGGUGAUUGACAGUGGAGAGCAGGUAUGCCCCUCCCACACUCAAACUCCUGGCCAUGUAUGGCUGUGACGGUCAGGAUUUGAACCCAUGAUCUCCAGGUGAUGGGGCAAUUUCUGUUGCACCUCUUGGGAUCCUGAAUCUCACUCGCAUUAGUACAUUUGUACUAUGUAAUGAUUGUGUCAGGGUGUUUAUGUGAGGUGAGGUGUGUGUGUGUGUGUGUGCGCGUUAGGUGGUCUCUUAAGUCUAUACCCAUUGGUGACUGUAAGUGUCUUUGAAGCAGGAGUCCCAUCAGAGAUCAUCGACCUCAGGGGCUGUACCUGUUAUUGUACUUAAGCCGUGUGUGUUUCUCAGCUGCAGUGUGUCGAGGUGUGGUGCAUUGCUUCAGAAUGUUGACUUGUAAAGACAGUCCUCAAAGCCCUCACAAGAGACCUAAACCUUAUUUACAGUGCCUUCCAGAAUUAGUGGCACCCUUUCAUAACAAUUGUAUAUAUUAACAUUGUACACAGUAGUUUAUUUGAAUUUUACACUCAUACAUUAGGUGAUAGUGUUGUGUGAUAUGAUGUUAAAUAUAUACGUGUGUAAUGUUAGCCAGGUCGAACACACACUGAUGUGGGGGAAGGGAGGCGCAGUCACUGUGUUGAUUGUUGAUCUGUUUUAUUAGGGAGGUAAAGAUGGCUCUCUUGUGAUGACUCGCUGCUGUUCCCUGCUGUUAAAUUGAGGAGCUGCUAUCUGAUAAUAUCGAGCAGGAACGAUAGUCAUUGCAUUGUACAAGCCUUGUACAGUCCCUCCAGGGAUAUUCGGAGGAGCUUGCAAUUUUUCGAAAUUACUGCAGAUUUUCCGCAGUCUGGGGACUAGACGUGUCAUGUGAUGUCAUCACAUCGCGCAUUCAGCCAAAAACCCUCUUUGAUUCACGUGCGUCAAACAUGAGUACAGCUAAAAGGUCUCAUUUACCAACAAACAUCACUCUAAAAGAGCAUGCAAAGCUGUUUCCUGCAACUGCAAAUUCGCUCAUUUUUAGCCUCAACAAUCACACAAAAAAAGAGACUGCUUUUAACAAACAAAAAAUCAUUAGAAUACUACAAUCAUGUGCCACAAUUAUUGAAAACCAGACGGAGUAUUUUUAAUGAAAGCAAACAGAUUAUCCUUAUUUAUAAUCAACUUUCAGUCACCAGAAACUCCAUUAGCUUUAGUCAUGUCAUUUUUCCCUGAGGUAUAAAUAUGAGGUUGCUCACAUGUAGGGACUGAAAUUUUGAUGAUGAACACAUGAAAUUUUCCCACCAGUUAAUCGAUGUGUGAGAACACCUGUAAUACCAGUAUCGCCACGAAAGCCAGUGCGGCUUUGCACAUUUUACUUUUGUUUUCGAAUUUGACAAAGUGGCUUAUAUUAAACACAGAACUUCUGAAACCAAAUCUUCCGCCAUCGUCUUGUCAGUCAGCUCGCCUCACUCUCGUCACGUGCUAAAUGAAAUGAGUCCCGCUGAUCUGAGCUGCGACUCAUUCGGCUCAUGCUGAACUGAGCAGAAAAUUCUGUUUUUAACUGUAGCAUCCAUUCUCUAACUGAACUAAAUGAAUUUUAUUACUAUAAAAAGGCAAAACCUCGACACGGAAUUGGUGUGCAGGCCGGACACCAUGUAACGCAGACUAUCACAGCAAGCCUACUCACACACAAACCUACAAACCUUCAUUGCUCCAAAUGAGAAGCGAGUGGGAAUUCUCAUUGUACAUGAAGUCCUGUGCACAACUUUAAAUAUUAACACACUUCAACAACAACACGAUCUGUUUCUGUCUGUUCUAAUAACCACUUUUAAACCGACUGACAUCUGAACCAGCUACAUCACAGCUUAUAAAUGAUCGCCUAGCAGCGGCGCUGGUCAGACCCACACCAGCCUGCUGACUUUUUCUUCCACAGAACAUUUUGCGGCCACUUCGCAGUGAAAUGUCAGACAUCCACAGAUGAAAAUGCAGAAAUUCAUUCUCCCUUUUUUUUUUUUUUUUUUUUUUUUUUUUGGUGUAAUGCAUUUUCAGUAGUAGCGUUUUCACCGUUAUCCAAGCGCUCCUUCACCAUAGAUGCGUCACAUUUCUGCCAGCUGGAAGACGACUUGCUGUUGCCCUAAAUCACAAGCCAAGCUCAAACUCACGACCUGUGUGACAAAUACAGUACUGCAUGACCUAUAAUGUAAUAAAAAUCAAAUUGUGCUAGUGUUUAGUUUGAUUCAGUGAUUAACCCCAAAUCCCAAAAAUGUAUCACCCAAUGUAGAGACCUACAGAUAUGUUUUAAAGGAGAGAAAAAAGUUGAUGGAGCACAAAGUCAAGGACAUUAAUCUUAGCAAGAGAUAAUCCCAUGAGAGUUCUCCUUCAAUCUCUUUCUUAACGAGAUAGAUUUCAGAUAUUUGGAAAACACACAUGUAAAACAUGUGAGCGAUUCCUUACCUUUUAAAGAAAUAAAGUUCUUACCAGAAGAACAAACCCAUUUUUAAUUUAGUCCAUGUAUGUCUGUAUUUUACUGAAUUAAUGUGUUCUAGUAGACAUUAGAAGGAAAUUGCCAAGUUUAUCCACAACAUAUGAGGUGUGCACCAAUACUACAAUGACAUUUUCAUCCAGCCGUAUUUCAUGUUUUCAAAAGAGGGUUCAAAAACCUCUUCUUUUUUUUUUUUCUUUUUUUUUUAAGAAAAAUACCUUUAUAUUAGCAAUAAGCAUUUUGCAGAAAGAUGGACAAAUGUCUGAGAAAUAAAUGCACUCACUGUCAUAACAGCAAUGCCUUUUGAAUUUAUACGGGCAGUAUUUAGGACGUCACUGCUUCAGUGCUGUAAAGUUCUCAAGAUUAAGUUUAUAUCACAUGAUAAUUGCAAAUAGAAAUAACUUUCUGCACAAAGUUAUAUUGCUAAUUAUCAUCAAUAACCCGUCUCCCUUCUUUGCUCUGAACAAGCAUCAUAAUGCGCUACGGAUGCUUCGUAUUAAAUCGUGUAUGCAUAUAAGUCAAACAACAUGGUAAACAAAUGUGCACUGGUGAUAUUACUGUGAUCCGUUUCAGGCUUACUGUAAAUCGUGAUGUUUUAGAUAAACGGCUGUGUGCAUAUGUUCACUCAGCUGAUCGCUUCCACCCAACAUUAAAGGACGCGCAUCUCGCCUCUCGUGUUUUUCCCCCUCGAGCUUUUUCGCGCGUGUGAUCAAGAAGAGUCAUUUCUGACGUGAUUGCAGAUCUUCACUUUUCAGGUAGAAUCUCCAUGUUAUUUACACAAAUUGUAAGUCUCUUCAUAUCAUUUACAUAUGUGCAUUUUUCUUUCGAAAGAACUGGAUCAAUUACAGUAAAAUUUAAACACCAUAGGGAACACUGUGGCCAUGAAGUGAAUGGCCAUUAUGAAAGGCUCAGUGUAGUCAGUUUUUAACUUUAAAAAAUGUUUUAAUUUAUUAUAGUAUAAUUUUAUCAAUGUUUGCAACAGUAAUCAAUAUAAUAAAACACCAAAUAAAAUGAUAUACAGUAACAUUUAAGAUAUAUACGGCUCAUCUUAAAGCACAAUGACAAACUAAUGCUGAAAGACGAAAGGUAUUCAGAGAGCGGAAGAGGAAUGAUGACAACUAAGGAAAGGAAAAAGAAAAAAGGCAGAGAGACUAAGAAAGAAAGAAACAGAAACAAAACAGGAGGCCAAGAAAGACAGGGAGCUUGCUAGACAAAGGCAGAGGGAAAAGGCGUUUGCUCAAGAAGUCACAAGUUCCAGUUUUACUCCAGGAUUUUCCAAAGAAAUCACCAUAUAAAUCAAGACAGUCUCUAGGCAAGGCAAUAAAACGAGCACUCCGAGCUAUACCAAGCAGCCCUCGCAAAAAAAGUAGUUAUAAAAAAAAAACAAGUUGGCAUGUCACUAUGCGUUCUUCCAGAGGGAAAUAAAAAUAAUAAAGCAUGUGAUUGCCACAAGUACUGUUGAUCAUGUUUGGGAAUUCUAUGAAAGAGAUGACAUUUGAAGGCAAGCACCAGGGAUGAGAGAUGUGGUCAUGGUUAGAGAGGGAGGAGUUUAAAAAAAAAAAAAAAAAGAUGAUUCAGAAACUGCAUUGGACAUGGUCAAUUAUAGAGGCCUACUGUUGUUUCAAAAGUGAACAUCUAGAGCCGAUUGGAAAAUUUGAAAUAUGUCUAAAUACGUUGAGCUCCGACCGGCUUGUGUGUUCCGGUGUUCAUACACUCCAAGAAAUGUUUGCCUUUGCCGAUACCAUGAAAAUAUGAAGUUAGCCCUUGACUGUGUGCAACAUGUUAUCCCAAGGCAAGCAUUUCAGAACACACAGGAUUUUAUUGAAGCUGCG